UCCCUGGAGGACUAGUGGUUAGGCUUUGGCGCUCUCACUGCCGUGGCCAGGGGUUCGAUUCCUGGCCAGGGAA
Pangasianodon gigas (Mekong giant catfish) is the source of this 73-nucleotide non-coding RNA. The record is from the annotation of a GenBank genome assembly. NCBI's taxonomy places the organism in Eukaryota, Metazoa, Chordata, Actinopteri, Siluriformes, Pangasiidae.